CGUAGUCAACCUGCCCUGGAGACAAGGACAACCCCGGGAAACUGGGAUUAAUCCUCGAUAGGUCAUCUCAUCUGGAAGGAGAGAUGGCUUAAAGGGGUACGAGGGCUUCUUCCACGUAUUCGCUCCAGGAUGGGACUGCGACCGAUCAGGCUGUUGGCGGGGUAAUGGCCCACCAAACCUGUAACCGGUACGGGCCUUGAGAGAGGUGGCCCGGAGAUGGACACUGAGAGAGGGGUCCAGGUCCUACGGGGCGCAGCAGGCGCGAAACCUUCGCAAUGCGCGAAAGCGUGACGAGGUUAAUCCGAGUGACUCCCGCUGAGGGGGUCUUUUGUCAGCUGUAAAUAGGCAGGCGAAUAAGGGGAGGGCAAGCCUGGUGUCAGCCGCCGCGGUAAUACCAGCUCCUCGAGUGGUCGGGGCGAUUAUUGGGCCUAAAGCAUCCGUAGCCGGUUCCGUAGGUCCUCUGUUAAAUCCAACUGCUUAACAGUUGACCUGCAGAGGAUACCGCGGGACUAGGAGGCGGGAGAGGCGGACGGUACUCCGCGUGUAGGGGUAAAAUCCUUUGAUCCGCGGAAGACCACCAGUGGCGAAGGCGGUCCGCCAGAACGCGCUCGACGGUGAGGGAUGAAAGCUGGGGGAGCGAACCGGAUUAGAUGCCCGGGUAGUCCCAGCCGU
RNAcentral lists this ribosomal RNA (672 nucleotides) under uncultured archaeon. Its description in RNAcentral is "bacterial SSU rRNA". It matches the Rfam family "Archaeal small subunit ribosomal RNA", at positions 99 to 754 of the family's 1478-position model. The record is from RNAcentral.